This 253-nucleotide ribosomal RNA is filed under the name uncultured bacterium. RNAcentral describes it as "partial 16S ribosomal RNA". It matches the Rfam family "Bacterial small subunit ribosomal RNA", at positions 524 to 776 of the family's 1533-position model. The record is from RNAcentral.
UACGUAGGUGGCAAGCGUUGUCCGGAUUUACUGGGUGUAAAGGGCGUGUAGCCGGGCUGACAAGUCAGAUGUGAAAUCCGGGGGCUCAACCCCCGAACUGCAUUUGAAACUGGUGGUCUUGAGUAUCGGAGAGGCAGGCGGAAUUCCUAGUGUAGCGGUGAAAUGCGUAGAUAUUAGGAGGAACACCAGUGGCGAAGGCGGCCUGCUGGACGACAACUGACGGUGAGGCGCGAAAGCGUGGGGAGCAAACAGG